GCUUACGGCCAUACCACCCUGAACACGCCCGAUCUCGUCAGAUCUCGGAAGCUAAGCCGGGUCGGGCCUGGUUAGUACUUGGAUGGGAGACCGCCUGGGAAUACCAGGUGCUGUAAGCU
RNAcentral lists this ribosomal RNA (119 nucleotides) under Labrus bergylta (ballan wrasse). Lineage: Eukaryota; Metazoa; Chordata; Actinopteri; Labriformes; Labridae. The record is from RNAcentral.